AAUCAACGCUGGCGGCGUGCCUAACACAUGCAAGUCGAACGUGAAAGGGGCUUCGGCCCCGAGUAAAGUGGCAAACGGGUGAGUAACGCGUGGGUGAUCUGCCUCUGAGUGGGGGAUAACCUUCCGAAAGGGGGGCUAAUACCGCAUGACAUCCUGUUCUUGGAUGAACGGAGAUCGAAGCUGGGGACCGCAAGGCCUGGCGCUUGGAGAGGAGCCCGCGUCCGAUUAGCUAGUUGGUGGGGUAACGGCUCACCAAGGCGACGAUCGGUAGCCGGCCUGAGAGGUCGGACGGCCACACUGGGACUGGGAAACGGCCCAGGCUCCUACGGGGGGCAGCAGUGGGGAAUUGUUCGCAAUGGGCGCAAGCCUGACGACGCAACGCCGCGUGGGGGAUGAAGGUCUUCGGAUUGUAAACCCCUGUUGGGUGGGACGAACACCUCCAUGGUGAAUAUCCAUGGAGGCUGACGGUACCAUCUGAGGAAGCCCCGGCUAACUCUGUGCCAGCAGCCGCGGUAAAAC
RNAcentral lists this ribosomal RNA (519 nucleotides) under uncultured bacterium. RNAcentral's name for it is "bacterial SSU rRNA". It matches the Rfam family "Bacterial small subunit ribosomal RNA", at positions 28 to 526 of the family's 1533-position model. The record is from RNAcentral.